UGAGGAAUAUUGGUCAAUGGACGCAAGUCUGAACCAGCCAAGUCGCGUGAAGGAUGACUGCCCUACGGGUUGUAAACUUCUUUUGUAUGGGAGUAAAGUUAGCUACGAGUAGCUAUUUGCAAGUACCAUACGAAUAAGCAUCGGCUAACUCCGUGCCAGCAGCCGCGGUAAUACGGAGGAUGCGAGCGUUAUCCGGAUUUAUUGGGUUUAAAGGGUGCGUAGGCGGUUUUUUAAGUCAGCGGUGAAAGUUUGAGGCUCAACCUUAAAAUUGCCGUUGAAACUGGGAAACUUGAGUAUAUUUGAAGUAGGCGGAAUUCGUGGUGUAGCGGUGAAAUGCAUAGAUAUCACGAAGAACACCAAUUGCGCAGGCAGCUUACUAAACUAUAACUGACGCUGAGGCACGAAAGCGUGGGUAUCAAACA
RNAcentral lists this ribosomal RNA (422 nucleotides) under uncultured bacterium. Its description in RNAcentral is "bacterial SSU rRNA". It matches the Rfam family "Bacterial small subunit ribosomal RNA", at positions 355 to 774 of the family's 1533-position model. The record is from RNAcentral.